This 445-nucleotide long non-coding RNA is filed under the name Gossypium raimondii (Peruvian cotton). RNAcentral's name for it is "long non-coding RNA (GRAI_LNC008123)". The record is from RNAcentral. Lineage: Eukaryota; Viridiplantae; Streptophyta; Magnoliopsida; Malvales; Malvaceae.
AUUAAGGUAAGAUUUCGAAUUACAUAACUCAUACAAUAUUAAGAUUACUUAUAUAAUAUUAAGAUAAAAUUUCUAAUUACAUAACUUACAUAAAUUACAUAAAUUACAUAACUUACAUAAAUUAAAUAACUUGCAUAACUUGCAUAACUUACAUAACACAUAACCUUCCUAGCUUACAUUAUUUAGAUAAUACAUAGCCUACAUAACUUACAUAACUUACAUAAAUUAAAUAACUUGCAUAACUUACAUAACUCACAUAAUACACAACUUACAUAACUUACAUAAUACAUAACCUUCCUAUCAUAUCAUAACUUACAUAACUCAUUUAUAGUAAUAUCUGGCGUUUUAACUUACCCGUGCAAAUUAUUGUCAACGUCAGACUUCAAUAAUUAAGAAAUGGACCGGUCUUGGAUGAAUUUGUCAAGGGUAAGCAACGGCUAUCGAA